This 990-nucleotide long non-coding RNA is filed under the name Rattus norvegicus (Norway rat). Its description in RNAcentral is "long non-coding RNA NONRATT033750". The record is from RNAcentral. Lineage: Eukaryota; Metazoa; Chordata; Mammalia; Rodentia; Muridae.
AUGAAUCGUUCCAACAGCCAGAUUGAGCUGAGACCAUGUGUUUUUACCUCAGACUUCAGAGCGGAAACACGAGAAGGGAGAAGGAAUCGGAAGGGAACUGGGCGACGGUGGCCGAGACGGGUCCAAUCUGAUGAGCCUGCGCUGCGCCUCCCGGAGAGUUGCGCCUGCGCAUUGUGGUGGUCUCCACGGCGGGGCCUCGGAGCCAAGACGAGAACAUGCUACAGUGAAGACAGAGUCACAGCUUCCAUACAAAUAAGCUGGCCUGCUUAGAAUUCAGUGCUCCAAGGGAAGACCACCAAUGAAUGCCAGAAAAGGCAUUUCUGAGGCAAAAUAACAGGAAUCUGGACUUGAACUUGAGCCACUGCCUGGAGGUAAUAACUUGAUAAACUUUGUUUCUUCAUCAGUUGUCCUUCUGGGUUUCUUCUUUUUCUUUUCUGAUUGGUUUGGUUGGUUGGUUUCGUUUGGUUUUUGUUUUUUCGAGACAAGGUUUUUCUGUGAGGUCCAGGCUUUCCUGGAAUUCAGUCUGUAGACAAAGCUGGUCCUGAAUGAACAGAGAUUCACUUGUCUCUGCCUCUCAAGUGCUGGGACUAAAGGCAUGGGCUACCAAUGCCUGGCAACCUUCUUCUUCCUCCUCCUCCUUCUCCUCUUCUUCCUCCUUUUCUUCCUCUUUUCUCUCCCCCACCCCCAUUUUAACCCACUGAGUUGUUUUAAUGCUACCAGUAUGCGUAUAGGUGUAGGACCAUCCACUGGAGAAUAGGCAACCUCUCAAGGGUUGAACCUCCCUGCCAUGGGAGUCAUCAAUUUCAACUCUUCCUCAGUUGAUGGAUGGAGCUUUUUUCUUUUUUCCCUCUUCUUCCUUCUCCUCUUCCUCUUCCUCCUAGUUCUUCUCCUAUUCCUACUCCUGCUCCUUCCUAUUUUGUUUCUUUGUUUUUCUCUGUGAAGCUCUAGCUGUUUUGGUUCUUUUUUUUUUUUUUUCUUUUCCUUUUUUUU